CCCUUAGACGUUCUGGGCCGCACGCGCGCUACACUGACCAGUGCAACAAGCAUCCGUCCUUGGCCGACAGGCCUGGGCAAUCUUUGAACGCUGGUCGUGAUGGGGAUAGACUUUUGCAAUUUUUGGUCUUCAACGAGGAAUUCCUAGUAAACGCAAGUCAUCAACUUGCAUUGAUUACGUCCCUGCCCUUUGUACACACCGCCCGUCGCACCUACCGAUUGAAUGGUCCGGUGAAAUCCUCGGAUCGAGCCGUGGGGCAACUCCGGUUCGAGAAGUUGAUUAAACCUUACCAUUUAGAGGAAGGUGAAGUCGUAACA
Molecule: ribosomal RNA, 317 nt
Filed under: uncultured eukaryote
Lineage: Eukaryota
Description: partial 18S ribosomal RNA
Rfam family: Eukaryotic small subunit ribosomal RNA
Source: RNAcentral